RNAcentral lists this ribosomal RNA (421 nucleotides) under uncultured archaeon. Its description in RNAcentral is "partial 16S ribosomal RNA". It matches the Rfam family "Archaeal small subunit ribosomal RNA", at positions 323 to 746 of the family's 1478-position model. The record is from RNAcentral.
CUACGGGAGGCAGCAGUCGCGAAACCUUUACAAUGCACGAAAGUGUGAUAAGGGUAUCCCAAGUGCUUGCUUUCGGGUGGGCUUUUGUCAAGUUUAAAACUCUUGGCGAAUAAGUGGUGGGUAAGACUGGUGCCAGCCGCCGCGGUAACACCAGCGCCACAAGUGGUGAUCAUGUUUAUUGGGUCUAAAGCGUCUGUAGCCGGUCUGGAAAGUCCUUUGUGAAACUGUUGGGCUUAACCCAACAACCUGCAAGGGAUACUGUCAGACUUGAGACCGGGAGGGGGUAGGGGAACUCCUUGGGUAGCGGUAGCAUGUGUUAAUCCUCGGAGGACCACCAAUGGCGAAGGCAUCUAUCUAGAACGGUUCUGACGGUGAGAGACGAAAGCUGAGGGCGCGAUCGGGAUUAGAUACCCUCGUAGUC